Molecule: ribosomal RNA, 206 nt
Filed under: uncultured bacterium
Lineage: Bacteria
Description: partial 16S ribosomal RNA
Rfam family: Bacterial small subunit ribosomal RNA
Source: RNAcentral
CGUGUAGGCGGCCCUGCAAGCCUGGCGUGAAAUCCCGGGGCCCAACCCCGGAACCGCGCUGGGAACUGCUGGCUUGAGCCGCUGUGGCGCAGCCGGAAUUCCAGGUGUAGGGGUGAAAUCUGUAGAUAUCUGGAAGAACACCGAUGGCGAAGGCAGGCUGCGAGCGGACGGCUGACGCUGAGGCGCGAAGGCGCGGGGAGCGAACA